Molecule: ribosomal RNA, 264 nt
Filed under: uncultured bacterium
Lineage: Bacteria
Description: partial 16S ribosomal RNA
Rfam family: Bacterial small subunit ribosomal RNA
Source: RNAcentral
GUCCACGCCCUAAACGAUGCGAACUGGAUGUUGGGUGCAACUAGGCACUCAGUAUCGAAGCUAACGCGUUAAGUUCGCCGCCUGGGGAGUACGGUCGCAAGACUGAAACUCAAAGGAAUUGACGGGGGCCCGCACAAGCGGUGGAGUAUGUGGUUUAAUUCGAAGCAACGCGAAGAACCUUACCAGGUCUUGACAUCCUUUGACCACUCUAGAGAUAGAGUUUCCCCUUCGGGGGCAAAGUGACAGGUGGUGCAUGGUUGUCGU